CCUCCUUUUCUUGGCAUCUCUGAACUCUCCCCCAUGUUUAUGAGAUGAAUGCAACCAGGAGGAAGAUAAAAAUGAUGAACCUUCGGUGUCAGGGUUCUUAUGCCCUGGUCCCAUCCUCUAGCAUCAUUACAGGG
RNAcentral lists this small nucleolar RNA (134 nucleotides) under Strongylocentrotus purpuratus (purple sea urchin). RNAcentral's name for it is "small nucleolar RNA SNORA57". It matches the Rfam family "Small nucleolar RNA SNORA57". Rfam says of the family: U99 belongs to the H/ACA class of snoRNAs which are thought to guide the sites of modification of uridines to pseudouridines, the target for this family is unknown. Lineage: Eukaryota; Metazoa; Echinodermata; Echinoidea; Camarodonta; Strongylocentrotidae. The record is from Rfam by way of RNAcentral.